Non-coding RNA from Salvelinus sp. IW2-2015, 415 nucleotides. NCBI's taxonomy places the organism in Eukaryota, Metazoa, Chordata, Actinopteri, Salmoniformes, Salmonidae. The record is from RefSeq and is a predicted model, not a curated record.
GGACUGGAUUCACAUGCAUAGUCACCCCAAAUGAGAAUCUAUUGAUCUAACACUAGAUUGAGUUUUAUAGAGAUACUUGUGUUGGGAUUUCUUUAUUUGUGUCUCAGUAAACUGAAGGAGAGUCAGCUGCCUAGGAUCCAACAAGGAGAUCCUGUAGCCCGGUACUUUGGAUUGAAAAGAGGCCAGGUAGUAAAGAUAAUCAGACCCAGUGAGACUGCUGGACGAUACAUCACCUACAGGCUGGUCCAGUGAGGAUUUCAAUGUAUGUCGCUGUACUAAGGAACAGCGGGUGAGCCAAUAAAACUCAUGGAUUAUUCUACAGCUGGCCUCAUCUCUUUGGAUUAAGUUUGGCUUUUGUUAAUUUGUUCAAUAAAUCCUUUGACAUAUCUUUCCAAAGAUAUGUAUGGUGAUGCCA